RNAcentral lists this small RNA (519 nucleotides) under uncultured Glomus. RNAcentral's name for it is "SSU rRNA". It matches the Rfam family "Eukaryotic small subunit ribosomal RNA", at positions 569 to 1092 of the family's 1831-position model. Lineage: Eukaryota; Fungi; Glomeromycota; Glomeromycetes; Glomerales; Glomeraceae. The record is from RNAcentral.
AGCAGCCGCGGUAAUUCCAGCUCCAAUAGCGUAUAUUAAAGUUGUUGCAGUUAAAAAGCUCGUAGUUGAAUUUCGGGAUCAGUUCGCUGGUCGUGCCUUGGUAUGUACUGGUGUUACUGGUUCCUACCUUCUGACGAACCGUCAUGUCAUUAAUUUGGUGUGGCGGGGAAUCAGGACUGUUACUUUGAAAAAAUUAGAGUGUUUAAAGCAGGCUCGCGCUUGAAUACAUUAGCAUGGAAUAAUGAAAUAGGACGUUCGAUCCUAUUUUGUUGGUUUCUAGGAUUGACGUAAUGAUUAAUAGGGAUAGUUGGGGGCAUUAGUAUUCAAUUGUCAGAGGUGAAAUUCUUGGAUUUAUUGAAGACUAACUACUGCGAAAGCAUUUGCCAAGGAUGUUUUCAUUAAUCAAGAACGAAAGUUAGGGGAUCGAAGACGAUCAGAUACCGUCGUAGUCUUAACCAUAAACUAUGCCGACUAGGGAUCGGAUGAUGUAAUUUUUAAUGACUCAUUCGGCGCCUUAAC